UACGAAGGGGGCUAGCGUUGCUCGGAAUCACUGGGCGUAAAGGGUGCGUAGGCGGGUCUUUAAGUCAGGGGUGAAAUCCUGGAGCUCAAUUCCAGAACUGCCUUUGAUACUGAGGAUCUUGAGUACGGGAGAGGUGAGUGGAACUGCGAGUGUAGAGGUGAAAUUCGUAGAUAUUCGCAAGAACACCAGUGGCGAAGGCGGCUCACUGGCCCGUUACUGACGCUGAGGCACGAAAGCGUGGGGAGCAAACAGG
This 253-nucleotide ribosomal RNA is filed under the name uncultured bacterium. RNAcentral's name for it is "partial 16S ribosomal RNA". It matches the Rfam family "Bacterial small subunit ribosomal RNA", at positions 524 to 776 of the family's 1533-position model. The record is from RNAcentral.